AGCGAACGCUGGCGGCGUGCCUAACACAUGCAAGUCGAACGCGAAAGGGAGCAAUCCCUAGUAAAGUGGCGUACGGGUGAGUAACACGUAGGUAAUCUACCCCAGAAUCUGGAAUAACCGGCCGCAAGGCUGGCCAAAACCUGAUAGAGCGACGGAAUCCUUAACUCGGUUUUUAGGGAAAAGGAGCCUGUAAAAAGGACUUCGUUCUGGGAUGAGCUUGCGUUCCAUCAGCUAGUUGGUGAGGUAAAAGCUAACCAAGGCAAUGAAGCGUAGCUGGUCUGAGAGGACGAUCAGCCACACUGGGACUGAAACACGGCCCAGACUCCUACGGGAGGCAGCAGUGGGGAAUCUUGCGCAAUGGACGAAAGUCUGACGGAGCAACGCCGCGUGAGUGAAGAAGGCCUUCGGGUCGUAAAGCUCUGUCGGGUGGGAAGAAAAUGGGUGGAGUUCAAAGGCCCAGGAAGUGACGGUACCAAUAAAGGAAGCAACGGCUAACUCCGUG
This 502-nucleotide ribosomal RNA is filed under the name uncultured bacterium. RNAcentral describes it as "partial 16S ribosomal RNA". It matches the Rfam family "Bacterial small subunit ribosomal RNA", at positions 29 to 507 of the family's 1533-position model. The record is from RNAcentral.